RNA transcript from Triticum dicoccoides, 1345 nucleotides. RefSeq lists it as uncharacterized. The transcript is spliced from 2 exons. NCBI's taxonomy places the organism in Eukaryota, Viridiplantae, Streptophyta, Magnoliopsida, Poales, Poaceae. The record is from RefSeq and is a predicted model, not a curated record.
CCCGUUCAGAAAGGAAAGCCUGCGCCCGUGACUGGGGUUGCCGGUGGCAAUGGGGGUUCGCAGCCGCCGCCGUCGCAAGAAUGGUCGGAGGGACGCGUCGCCGGCGGCCACGCACCGCCUUCCCGACGAGCUGAUCGAGUUAGUAUUCCUGCGCCUCCCUUCCUCUCUCCAACUCGUCCGUGCCGCUUGCACCUGCAAGCAGUGGCGCCGCGUCGUCGCCGACGGCGGCUUCCUCCGCCGAUUCUGUUCUCUCCACCCGCACGCCCCCGUCGUCGGACACUACCGCGUCGAAGAUCGCACGUAUGCGUUUCCGCGUCCACCUGGCUGCAACCCCGUCUUCUUCCCCUCGUCGCCCUCGCCACCGGCGGACGCCUUAGACGCGCGGCACUUCUCGCUCGAUUUCCUCACGGACGGCGCUGGUGCAGACUGGGAGCUCGCCGAAAGUCGGAACUUCCAUUGUUGACCAGCAUCCACUACGCAGGGCACGCAUCAGACUGGAUCUACUGGAUGGUGACCGCAGACCACAGUUUUCUUGUACUCCCUCCGUUCCUAAAUGAACGGAGGGAAUACUCGACAAGGACACCGCAGAGUUCUCCAUUUCCUGUUUCCCGGACGACAUGUGCACUGUGCCAGACGAGGCCACCAGGAUCCGGGUCGUCGGCGGCGAGGACGGUGCUGCGGUGCACAUCGCCGUCCUGACCAAAUACUUCCUGGAGGUCUUCGUGCAAGCGGAAGACAGCGGCAAAUGGGUGUCGAAGACAAGGUUCUCAUUGUCGCAGGCGAUUCGUGAGCUGUUUGGGGACAAGAUCAAGAAACCUCACAUCACCGUCACUUGCUGAGUAUAAAGUGUAAUAUCAUAGGCAUAGUGUCGGUCUAUAGGACUCUACUGUCGCGGUCUAUAGGACUCUACUGUCGCCGAUUUGUCGUUUUUUUCCAUUCAUUUUGUCAGACUUUCCGUGUUGGGCUGUGUGCAUCCUAGUUAUGCAGAGGCCGGGUGUUACUCAUAAUGUUUUGUAUCCGCUUGAUGCUACAUUUCGAGAUAAUAAAAGCGCCCUUUAUCGAAAAAAAAAUAGUUCACUCUGCUAUUAGUUCAGAUUUCAGAGAACCUUGCAUGGCAAUAUAGAGUGUAACAUAAUGAGCUUAUUGGAUGAUUUACCACCAAUUGUUGUAGGAAUUACCAGUAAGCAUCAUUUACUAGUAUUUCAGAUCACUUGGUGACUUGAAUUGGUAAAACAUUAUCUGAACUGUUAGGAGGUGAGCAUUUACCAAAGAAUAGGACUUGGGGGGUGGCGUGCGCCCCACUGCCUUAGGGAAUGAACUCCCCAGCCCCUUUUUACUCUGUUUC